RNAcentral lists this ribosomal RNA (252 nucleotides) under uncultured bacterium. Its description in RNAcentral is "partial 16S ribosomal RNA". It matches the Rfam family "Bacterial small subunit ribosomal RNA", at positions 524 to 776 of the family's 1533-position model. The record is from RNAcentral.
UACGGAGGAUGCGAGCGUUAUCCGGAUUUAUUGGGUUUAAAGGGUGCGUAGGCGGGCUUUUAAGUCAGCGGUAAAAAUUCGGGGCUCAACCCCGUCCGGCCGUUGAAACUGGGGGCCUUGAGUGGGCGAGAAGAAGGCGGAAUGCGUGGUGUAGCGGUGAAAUGCAUAGAUAUCACGCAGAACCCCGAUUGCGAAGGCCGCCUUCCGGCGCCCUACUGACGCUGAGGCGCGAAAGCGUGGGGAGCAAACAGG